GAUGAACGCUGGCGGCGUGCCUAAUACAUGCAAGUCGAGCGAACGGACGAGAAGCUUGCUUCUCUGAUGUUAGCGGCGGACGGGUGAGUAACACGUGGAUAACCUACCUAUAAGACUGGGAUAAAUUCGGGAAACCGGAGCUAAUACCGGAUGAUAUUUUGAACCGCAUGGUUCAAAAGCGAAAGACGGUCUUGCUGUCACUUAUAGAUGGAUCCGCGCUGCAUUAGCUAGUUGGUAAGGUAACGGCUUACCAAGGCAACGAUGCAUAGCCGACCUGAGAGGGUGAUCGGCCACACUGGAACUGAGACACGGUCCAGACUCCUACGGGAGGCAGCAGUAGGGAAUCUUCCGCAAUGGGCGAAAGCCUGACGGAGCAACGCCGCGUGAGUGAUGAAGGUCUUCGGAUCGUAAAACUCUGUUAUUAGGGAAGAACAUAUGUGUAAGUAACUGUGCACAUCUUGACGGUACCUAAUCAGAAAGCCACGGCUAACUACGUG
This 497-nucleotide ribosomal RNA is filed under the name uncultured bacterium. RNAcentral describes it as "partial 16S ribosomal RNA". It matches the Rfam family "Bacterial small subunit ribosomal RNA", at positions 28 to 507 of the family's 1533-position model. The record is from RNAcentral.